GAUGAGUCAUUUAUUCAUUGUGAAUCUUUGAACUACGAGUGGCUUGAUUCCCGCAAGGGAUACGUAGGCAUCCUGAGGUUGAACUUGGGAGCAGUUGCAAAAUCAAACACACACGUUCUGUUUCUUUAUGAUGGAAUCAAAGGGUGUUCCCUUGAAGCAAGGGAUUGUAAUUAAGAGACUUGCGUCUCGAAUGGGUCGAACC
RNAcentral lists this long non-coding RNA (202 nucleotides) under Prunus persica (peach). Its description in RNAcentral is "long non-coding RNA (PPER_LNC001107)". The record is from RNAcentral. Lineage: Eukaryota; Viridiplantae; Streptophyta; Magnoliopsida; Rosales; Rosaceae.